Molecule: small nucleolar RNA, 137 nt
Filed under: Drosophila virilis
Lineage: Eukaryota; Metazoa; Arthropoda; Insecta; Diptera; Drosophilidae
Description: snoRNA:GJ25536
Source: RNAcentral
ACAGUCCCAGCUCCGCAUAGCAAUGUUUGAUGUGUCUGUGCGGCGUUUCAUGACUGUAAGAGAAAUGUUGCACAUAUUAUAUCUUUGUUAAUUGGGCACCCUGUAUGCCUAAUUGAUGAAAACGUAUGUUCCACAAU